This 279-nucleotide ribosomal RNA is filed under the name uncultured bacterium. RNAcentral describes it as "partial 16S ribosomal RNA". It matches the Rfam family "Bacterial small subunit ribosomal RNA", at positions 506 to 784 of the family's 1533-position model. The record is from RNAcentral.
UGCCAGCCGCCGCGGUAAUACGGAGGGUGCAAGCGUUAAUCGGAAUCACUGGGCGUAAAGCGCACGCAGGCGGUUUGCUAAGUCAGAUGUGAAAGCCCCGGGCUCAACCUGGGAACUGCAUUUGAUACUGGCAAACUAGAGUAUGGGAGAGAGAAGUAGAAUUCCACAUGUAGCGGUGAAAUGCGUAGAGAUGUGGAGGAAUAUCAGUGGCGAAGGCGACUUACUGGAUUAUAACUGACACUGAGGCGCGAAAGCGUGGGGAGCAAACAGGAUUAGAUA